GUCUAUGGCCAUACCAUUCUGAACACACCUGAUCUUGGAAGCUAGGAAGAGUUGGCCUGGUUAGUACUUGGAUGGGAGAUCACUAUCUUUAGACAUUACAGGUU
RNAcentral lists this ribosomal RNA (104 nucleotides) under Erinaceus europaeus (western European hedgehog). The record is from RNAcentral. Lineage: Eukaryota; Metazoa; Chordata; Mammalia; Eulipotyphla; Erinaceidae.